AUUGAACGCUGGCGGAAUGCUUUACACAUGCAAGUCGAACGGCAGCACGGGCUUCGGCCUGGUGGCGAGUGGCGUACGGGUGAGUAAUGUAUCGGAACGUGCCCAGUCGUGGGGGAUAACGUAGUGAAAAUUACGCUAAUACCGCAUACGAUCUAUGGAUGAAAGCGGGGGAUCGCAAGACCUCGCGCGAUUGGAGCGGCCGAUAUCAGAUUAGGUAGUUGGUGGGGUAAAGGCCCACCAAGCCAACGAUCUGUAGCUGGUCUGAGAGGACGACCAGCCACACUGGAACUGAGACACGGUCCAGACUCCUACGGGAGGCGGCAGUGGGGAAUUUUGGACAAUGGGCGAAAGCCUGAUCCAGCCAUUCCGCGUGCAGGAUGAAGGCCCUCGGGUUGUAAACUGCUUUUGUACAGAACGAAAAGGUUUCUACUAAUACUAGGAGCUCAUGACGGUACUGUAAGAAUAAGCACCGGCUAACUACGCGCCAGCAGCCGCCGUAA
This 500-nucleotide ribosomal RNA is filed under the name uncultured bacterium. RNAcentral's name for it is "partial 16S ribosomal RNA". It matches the Rfam family "Bacterial small subunit ribosomal RNA", at positions 30 to 523 of the family's 1533-position model. The record is from RNAcentral.